Molecule: unclassified non-coding RNA, 271 nt
Filed under: fungal sp.
Lineage: Eukaryota; Fungi
Description: partial internal transcribed spacer region
Rfam family: Eukaryotic small subunit ribosomal RNA (bases 1-65)
Source: RNAcentral
CUUGAUUUAGAGGAAGUAAAAGUCGUAACAAGGUUUCCGUAGGUGAACCUGCGGAAGGAUCAUUCGCAAUAAAUGGUUUUUUUUAUAAUUCAUAAAAAAAAAAAAAUCCUUUACCACCUUGUGUGCAAUGUAUGAGAAAAGGGGCCAUUUGGCUUCUUUUUUUUCUAUAUCAUCAACUCUUUGCUUUGAAACCAGUUUGUCUGAAAUAAACAUAUUCUUUGAAUAACUUAAUUCAAAAAUACAACUUUCAACAACGGAUCUCUUGGCUCUC